GCCGGGUGCUGUGGCGGACGCCUGUAAUCCCAGCAGCUCAGGAGGCUGAGGCAGGAGGUUCAUGAGUUCAAAGCCAGCCUCAG
This 83-nucleotide small RNA is filed under the name Marmota monax (woodchuck). The record is from RNAcentral. Lineage: Eukaryota; Metazoa; Chordata; Mammalia; Rodentia; Sciuridae.